Molecule: ribosomal RNA, 165 nt
Filed under: uncultured bacterium
Lineage: Bacteria
Description: partial 16S rRNA
Rfam family: Bacterial small subunit ribosomal RNA
Source: RNAcentral
UAGGGAAUCUUCGGCAAUGGACGAAAGUCUGACCGAGCAACGCCGCGUGAGUGAAGAAGGUUUUCGGAUCGUAAAACUCUGUUGGUAGAGAAGAACGUUGGUGAGAGUGGAAAGCUCAUCAAGUGACGGUAACUACCCAGAAAGGGACGGCUAACUACAUGCCAG